Long non-coding RNA from Cyprinodon tularosa, 214 nucleotides. RefSeq lists it as uncharacterized. Lineage: Eukaryota; Metazoa; Chordata; Actinopteri; Cyprinodontiformes; Cyprinodontidae. The record is from RefSeq and is a predicted model, not a curated record. The transcript has 3 exons.
GUUCGCUGCCUUCGUGUCGUCACGCAGGCCUCUGUAUGGGUUGGAGAUGCAGGCUGCACUGAAGAGGGUAGCCUACUCACCUAAGCCUGUAUUUCCAGCCCGCAGCAGAGCCUCUAGACCAGCUCCUUCCACACAGACAUCUGUGGAGCCUACCGAUGAGGAGCUGGUCCAGGCUGCUGGCGACAUGGAGGAAUAUGAACCUGAAGUGAAACAG